Molecule: small RNA, 3102 nt
Filed under: Pan troglodytes (chimpanzee)
Lineage: Eukaryota; Metazoa; Chordata; Mammalia; Primates; Hominidae
Description: retained intron
Source: RNAcentral
GGCCGCCUAUGGCGGGCGGCGGGUGGGACCGCGAGUUACAGCCGGCCAACUGGGGCCAGCCAGGAGCCUGAGGGUCGGAAGCCCCCAACACAAGAUGCUGAGCUCCUUCCUGAGCCCCCAGAAUGGCACCUGGGCAGACACCUUCUCUCUGCUCUUGGCUCUUGCCGUUGCCCUCUACUUGGGCUACUACUGGGCACGUGUGCUUCAGGUGGGUGCGGGUCCACCGCUCUGGCCAGCGGGUUUGGGUGUAGCGGGCAGCUUCCAGACACGGGCUUGAGUCCUUGGUGGGAACUGGGAUGGUUGGGCUUCCCCACAGGUGAAAUUUGCUACCACCGAAUGGGGAGUCGGCUCUGCCUCCCUAGUGCCUCUGCAUCCCAUGUGAUCCCCACGCCAGCUGGGCCUUUUGGGUACCGGAGGGUGCUGCUCCCUAUAAUGUGGACAAGCAUUUGGGGAAAGGUGGGGUGGAAGGCAUCCUGAGGUAUCAGAGAUGUGCACACUUUGCGUUCCUUUUUAGGUGGUUUAGCUGAGUCAGCUGCACUGAAGGAAGGAACCAGAGGUCUGUGGGUCACGGCUAACUCCCAAUACCACCCACCCCCCAAAUAGCUUAGUAGGACCUCCCUUCCCUUAAGGGCUGGCUGAGGUCAGAACUGGCCUAGCUCAGAACUGAUGGAUGACCCUAACUGUCCUUGCUCAUUCAGCCGUUUUAUGUUCCAGGCUCUCCAUACAGUGUGAUGAGAAAGUUUGAAGAGGUUGAUUUUGAUGAAUUUGGAGAUUUUUCUCACUGAAAUUUAGAUAUAUACAUAAUUUACAUAUCCAGGAAAAGCCAAAUCUCUUCAUCUUCAUUAAACUCUGUUCUAGGUAGCUGAGUCUAACAAGACACCUACUGGUUCGAGUCCUUUAAAAAGGUCUAUAGGAGACUUUAGUGUUACCUAGACUUUUCCAUAUUUUCAGAGCUUUCUACAUUAGCAUAUAUUGUUUACUAAAUGUCUUCCUUAGGGCCGGGUGUGGUGGCUCACGCCUGUAAUCCCAACACUUUGGGAGGCAGAGGCGGGAGGAUCGCCUGAGAUCGGGAGUUCGAGAGCAGCCUGACCAACAUGAAGAAACCCCGUCUCUACUAAAAAUACAAAAAUUAGCCAGGCAUGGUGGCACAUGCCUAUAAUCCCAGCUACUCGGGAGCCCGAGGCAGGAGAAUCACUUGAACCUGGGAGGCGGAGGUUGCAAUGAGCCUCGUGCCAUUGCACUCCAGCCUGGGCAACAAGAGUGAAACUCCGUCUCAAAAAAAAAAAAAAAAGUCUUCCUUAAUAAAACAGUUAAAAACUCCAAGCCUCACAAUACUCUGUAGGCCUCACUUUAUACAUCAGAUUUGGAAGGUCACUUCAGAACAAAACUGCCCCUAAGGAAACACUUUCCUUUACUUGCAACUAGCUGCACAGAAAUCUGGGCCCCUGCUGCUUUAUAGACUAAACCCUUUAUAAGCUAACGAAUACUGGUUAAAAUGCAGGAAAAGUGCCAUUCUGGAGGCCCUCUAGAUAUGGUGUUUGGAUUGGCCAGCACUGUAAUGGAUCUAUACUGAUUUAAGCAUAGCAACCAGUGCCAUAUUGUAAUACUAAUUCAUUCUCAGGAGGGAGUCAAGAAACAUUUUCUUGAGUUAAAAUCAAAUUAACCCACAUAAAUCAAACCUGUGAACAAAUUUAUAAGACUUGUUCCACAUUACUGGGCCGUUUGACCAAGGAAUUAAUAAACUGAUAGUAACUCAGCCGAGCACAGUGGCUCAUGCCUGUAAUCCCAGCAUUUUGGAGGCUGAGGCGGGCGGAUCACUUGAUGUCAGGAGUUCGAGACCCGCCUGGCCAACAUGGUGAAACCCCUAUCUCUACUAAAAAUACAAAAAUUAGUUGGGUGUGGUGACGCAAGCCUGUCAUCCCAGCUACUCAGGAGGCUGAGGCAGGAGAAUCGCUUGAACCCAGGAGGCGGAGGUUGCGGUGAGCUGAGAUGGCACCACUGCACUCCAGCCUGGGUGUCAGAGCAAAACUCCGUCUCAAAAAAAAAAAAAAAAAAAAGGAUAGCAACUCAAAAUCUUGGCAAUUAGGAGGCAAUACCCGACAGUGACUAGACAGCGCAGGCUCUAGAGUCAGACAGACCUGGGUUUGAAUCUCCUGCUCUGCCACUAACUAGCUCUGGCAAGCUUCUGGCCCUUGACAAGUUAUUCAGCAUUCAAAUCCGUUCACAUAGGGGGAUCACAGAACCUAUUUCAUGGAACUGUUAUGAAAAUCACAAGACAAAAUUUGUGUGAAGUGCUUAGCAGAAUGCCUGGAGCUUAAUGAGAACUCAACAAAUCUUACCUACAAGUACUGGUGGUAAUGUCAUAGUUAAUAAUUUUGUUUUGCCUCUUGCUUGCUGUGUAACUGGACAAACCACUUAAUCUCUGUCAGUCAUAACUUCUUCACUUAUAAAAUAUCUCAUAAGUUUGGGCUUAGCCCAGUGCCUGCACACGACUGACAGCUGUCAUAAUUCCAGGGCUUAAGGACUAGGGUCCAAAGUCACAUCUCCCAACAGUUGCACUAUCAACUUGGCCUCUCUACCAUUUGCCCCUGUAGACCAUAGGAACUGUACUGGAGAUAGAAAUCUGGUCCUCAUGUUCCUUAGGGCCCACUGCGGAUAUGCAGUUUCUAUUCUUGAACCUAUGGCAUACUCCUCCUUCACAUGCCUUCCACGUGGCUAGGCUCUCUCAUUCACUUGAUGUCUGUCCAGAACACAGCAGAGAAGCUGAAAGUCAGGGCUCAGUGCCCACUGACCUCAUCUGUCCCUGUUAUUUCAUCCUUGUCACCUUCCCCCUAGCUGGCAUGAAGGAAGAAAAAAAUCGAUUCACAUUAGGGCUGUUCUUCCUUUAGAGCACAAUCUAACAGCAGGGGCCCCACAAGUAAGAGAAGAUAAGGUCCCCGGUAGAAAGAAGCCCCUUAGGCCAGACGCAGUGGCUUACACUUGUAAUCCCAGCACUUUGGGAGGCCGAGGCGGGCGGAUCACGAGGUCAGGAGAUCGAGACCAUCCUGGCUAACACGGUGAAACCCCAUCUUUACUAAAAAUACAAAAAAAAAAAAAAAAAAA